RNAcentral lists this ribosomal RNA (477 nucleotides) under Triticum aestivum (bread wheat). RNAcentral's name for it is "partial small subunit ribosomal RNA". Lineage: Eukaryota; Viridiplantae; Streptophyta; Magnoliopsida; Poales; Poaceae. The record is from RNAcentral.
AUGCAACUUGAGAUGGAAAACGCCAUGAUCGAGGCCCUGCAGACCCCGCUGGCGUUUGAAGAUGGUGGCCUCUCCCCACCUCAUCAGCCUCCCGCCGUGCAAGAUAUGGACAGCCCCGAGAUGAUCCCAUGCCUGCUCCCAUGCAUCACCUCCCCAACGGUGGCCACUGCAGGCUUCCAGCUGUCAGCGGUGACGAAGCGCGUGGGCACGAUCCAGAUCAGUGAAGGAGGCGGCUCGGAGUUGUUUGCGCAUGUCCCCCCGCCCAUCAUCAGCCCGGCUCGCCCACGCCCCUCUGCGCCACCAAAGUCCAGGGCCACCUCGGCACCUUCUCGCCGUAGUGCUCGCCAGGGUGCAGCAGCAAACCCGAUGCCAGUGGCUCAACGGGCGGUGCUUCGCCUGGUGCAGGAGUUGGGCGCGCUCGGGCCAAAGGACAUGAUGACCCCAAAGGUGGCGACAGUGCUCAUGAAGCGGUUCUAG